Molecule: RNA transcript, 4684 nt
Organism: Myotis myotis
Lineage: Eukaryota; Metazoa; Chordata; Mammalia; Chiroptera; Vespertilionidae
Gene: NDUFAF2
Gene name: NADH:ubiquinone oxidoreductase complex assembly factor 2
Exons: 9
Source: RefSeq, a predicted model, not a curated record
CGGGGCGUUCUUGUUACUGUCGCAGCGGAUCCGGGUGCAGCUCACGCUGGGGUCUGGGGAGCCGACAUGGGUUGGUCUCAGGAGUUGUUCCGCACCGUGUGGAGAGCGCUGUCCAAGGAAGUGAAGGAGCUAGUGGGCACAGACCACUUCGGGAACAAAUACUACUAUAUCCCGGCGUACAAGAACUGGAGAGGACAAAUUAUUCGAGAGAAAAGAAUUAUAGAAGCAGUAAAUAAAAAAGAAGUAGACUAUGAAGUAGGGAAUAUCCCAACAGAAUGGGAAGCUUGGAUUAGAAAAACAAGAAAAACUCCACCUACAAUGGAGGAAAUACUAAAGAAUGAAAAGUAUAGAGAAGAAAUUAAAAUAAAAAGCGAAGAAUUUUAUGAAAAAGAAAAACUCCUUAGUAAAGAAAGCAAUGAACUCUUGGCUCCACCAAUUGAAACUCAGAUUAAAGGGCAUGCAUCUGCCCCAUACUUUGGAAAAGAUGAACCAUCAGUGGAUCCCACCAGCACUGGUCAAACCUUUCAACCGGGAUCCUGGAUGCCACAAGACAGCAAGAAGAAGAGCAAUCAAUGAGUGCCGUGGUAAAAAGUAGUUUCAUUUAUAUGAUCCGUAUUCUCCAUAGAAGAAUCAGAAAAGAUAACCAAAACAAAAUCACCCACAAUGUCAUCACCUCAAGAAAAAUAUUACCACUGGUUUUAAUUAUAGGCUACGAUUUCUUCAUGUUUUGUGCUGAAUAUACAUUCAAGUGCCUAAGACUUGUUCCAUAUCCUAGCUCACCUUCCCACCCACACAGUCGGACCGAGGCUCCACAGAGAACCGCCUGUUUCAACUCCAGCCCAGCAAUGAAUUAACUCAUGCAAAAUGCGGAGCUAAAGGAACUUUGCCAUAAAGAAUAAAGCAGGAGCGAAGGGCCUGGUUCAUGGCGACGUUGUCCCAUUAACACACAGGGGUUCCAGUCCACAGGCCACGCACCUCCCGGGGGCCUCCCUCACUGUCAGGAAUAAAUUUCUUUCUGCUUCCGUUACGGGUUCACGGGCUGGUCUCCGGCCAGAGCCGCGCCCGACGCUGCGCGGUCGGCGCUUCACCGCCUCCGCGCUUGCACCUCUUCCUUGGGGCUCCCUCUCGCUCGUUCCCCCCUCGUCCCCCCACCCGGCCCCUGGGGCCCCGGCACCGAGCCUUCCGGCCCCGGCUAGUGCGGGCCCGCGGGACUUGCGGAGCGGCCGUCCGGGGGGGGGGGGCACGGGGAGGCCCCGCCACACCUCGCGCCCCCGGGCCGCGGCAGCCUCCGCCCGGCGCCAGGGCCGCACCAGCCCGAGCAGCCCACAGCCUCCCGCGCAUCGCGCCCAGGACCCUGGACUCGGACCCCAACUCCCAACUCACCGCCAGGCCGGAAGCAGGAAGGCGGAAGCCCGGCUUCCCCGCCCCGCCCACAGGUCGGCCGGGUCCGGAUCCGGCCUGAGGAAGUCGAGCGGCCAGUUUCCGGCUGCGCGGCCGCUGAGUGCGGCCCGGGACCUCGGCUUCCCGGGCGCGGGGCGGGGGCGGGGUCUCCGGGGGGUGGCAGGUGAGGCCGCGCGGGUGGGACUGGCCCUCGGGAGCGGGUGGGACGUCAGCGUCUCUGCCUUUGCCCCGAGGCCGGGAACGGAUCUAGGAAUGGAUAUGCUCUGACAUCAGUGGGGCCCCUGGAAACUCCGACCCCAGAGCGGCGGCGAGGAAGGCGUUGGUCCCCACAAACCGCCCAAAGUCAAGGUGAGGGCCACCCAGCGACUCCUUUCGCUGCAGUUAAAGCCUCGCGUAGAGGAGACGGAAAAACAGUUGGACCCUGGUGGGUGCGCUGAACCUUCUUACUAAGGGGAAAUGCAGCCGUGCUGUGUGAGGACUUUUUGCUGUUUGUUUUUAAUUGAAGAACCUAACUCAUUUCGCGAAAGAAUGAUCGAUAUUUACCCAAAGUAAACGAUCAGUAGUUAAACUGCAUCGAGUUCCCACAGAGGCACUUGUUCUUUCAGGACACAAGUAAAGGAUGCAAAAGCCAACCAGCAGGAGUGAGUUAAUGUUGUCUUCUGAUCUGCGGGAACCGAGAGAUGAGCUCUGGCUUGGUUGGCGACCAGACUUUGUGAUGGCUUGCACUGAACCGCGCUGUUUGACCACUUCUGCACAUGUUGCAAGACCUCUUCACUGUUGUAUGACAAAUAAAGCAGGUUUUUAUUCUCGAAAGACUAUGGAAUGUACUCUCUGAGGAGCAAGCUGUAACAUGUAUAACUAGUCUAGCGGCAGUUGUUUUCUUACUCUUGUUUGAAAACUUGGAUGAUGGUUUCAAAGCUACUUGGACCUAGCCUGUACCUGUCCUAGCCAGAAAAAGCAGAGUCAGUCCCUGGACUGUUUACCGAAAACUACUUGCUGGAGGCGGUCAUUCGACCAAGAGUUCAACUGGGAGUUUGACUGCUCACUAUGAUGUGCACUGACCACCAGGGGGCAGCACGGAACAUGGCGAGUGUCAGCAGACAUGGCGCUGGCAGCGGGUGGCAGUAGAGGCGCUGCCAGCUACGAUGGGCACCGAUGAGAGUGGGACCAUGGCAGGAUGGUGGAGCAGGAAACCAAGGACAGCUGUGGUGUGUUGAAAGCACAGGAGCCAUGCAAUCGGAAGGCCUGGGGUUUAAAUUCGAGUUCAUCACAGAUGUAAGCACCUAACAUGAUCAGCCAGAGUUUCUGGGAGUGCAGCUGGCGUUUCCAUUGCUGUGGAUGAAAGAUGGCCACGCUGUCUGACAUUUCUCCCAUCAAGAGGUGGGGUCUGCUUCUUUCACCCUUGAAAUUGGCCCAUGGCUACUCUGAAGAUUGAAGUGAUACUUUGUCAGAUCCAGGCCUAACCUUGGCUCGGAACCCUGGACCACAUGGGGAGACUCUAAAACUACAUGGAGAGGGAGAAGAGCCCAGCCAAGCCAACUUGAUAGUCUCCCCUCUAAUUUUCCAGACACGACUUGGACUCUCCACAUGAGACCAGGUACCAGCUGGAAACCACAUGAGGGUGGCCUCAAUCACUUGGAGCAGAAGAACCACCCAGCUGUGCCCUGCCAGAAUUCCUGAUCCACAGCAUCAUAAAAUGGUGUUGCUUUAAGCCUCUCUAAGUUUGGUGAUCCAGAUAACAAGAAUAUGCAGAUGUAACAAAUUCUCCAGGUUAUUCUUGUGUGUCCUAGAAUUUGAGUCAGUGUUGUAAAGGGAGCUGACAUUUAAUGAGUAAAGUUUUUUAUUAAAGAAUAGAAUAUAUAAACUCAUUUUCUACCUUGUCUGCAUAUCCUAAGAGAAGGAAGAUACGGUAAAAUAAAACUUCAUCACUUACAUUGUUGAACUCAUUUUGUUUCUUGGACAAUAGGCCAGUUCUGUUUCUGGCACAAACAAGAGAGGGCCUCCAGCUCUCCUGAACUUUUCUAGACAAUCCAGCACCACAGACAGUGUUAAUGAACAGUGUGACCUCAACGGAGUGAAGUUCAGCUCUGGAUUUAAAACGUAGUGAGCCCUGACAACAUUUGGUUUGGACGUAUUUUCUUCCACUGUGCUUCUAGGCCCAAACUGAGAAGAUUUUCUGUUUCUUUUUUUGUUUGUCUCAUGGGAGUAUAUUUUAAGACCGAAGCCUGUGGGUUUCUUUCAGGUUUCAUAAUGAAACCUUUAGGCUUGUAAGUCACAUGACCGAUCACUGCUUUGCCAUAGUUUUGGACGAAAACCACAGGACCCUACAAACCCCGCUGGGAUUGGUGGUUUUUGUUUUUGUUUCUCAACAAAGCAGUUUGGGCAAGUCUGAGAAAUUUUUUGCAGACUCAGCAGAGAUUGGUGUGAAACUCAGCAUCUCCUUUGGAUGCUUCAGCUCAGCGUCAGUGGGUUUGGACAAGCCCCGUGCUUAAAAAUGGAACUCUAAAAGCAUAAAACCACACAAGCCAGAAAUACUUUCUAAAAUGAGUUGAACCAAGCUGAAGCUGCUGCCAUUCGCGCCCUCUCUGUGCAGACAAGUAGAUGUGCCCCUUCCAACUCGAUGUCCCACCGGCCUUCAGCUCACUGGGUCUGCUGGGUCACAUGCUGGGCAGAGCUGUCUCUGAGAACAGAACUCUGGCCUCUGCUGAUGCUCUUCAGAGGUGGCCCUGUGUUUCCACAAACUCAAUAAUUCAAAGUCUGGCAAGGAAUCGAUCUCACCAUUUAUGUUAUUUCGUUCAUCUGAAAAACAAAACAUCCACAUGGUGGCAUCACUUGAGGACAGCUGACAAGUAAAUACCACCCUUGAAGCCUGCGGCUCCCAAACAGCCGGGGCCAUGGCAAGGCUGCAUCAACAUUGUUCCAAGUGCUGGUUAAAAUACAGAUUCCCAGGCAGCCCUCUGAGCCAGAGCUUCUGGGUGGGAGUCCAGGAAUCUUUAUUUUAAUGAGCUGCUCAGACGACUGUAUACAUCCAAGUUUAGGAAGCACUUCUGUGUUUAAAAAAUAUGACACUUCUGCUUCUGGCCCAGAUGGAGUAGCAGGGAUCAGAGGUCUCCUGCCUGAAACAACUGGAAAGCGGGCCAGGUUUACGAAGGAAUGGAUUUCGGCGGCAGAGGGUAUGACCGCCGAGAAGGGGACCAGUGAAUUUUUAGAUGCCAGAAAGGGGGAGUCGGGCAACACUUGGGAUGUGUUUAUAAAAUAUGUUUAUAAAAAGAGGUUACCAGGA